CCUCCUUAUACGAUUUAGAACUUAUUUGUUCGUAGUGUCCACACAGAUGAUUGUUAGUUAGUUUCACCUUUGGGUUUAACUGAUUAAUAUGCUCUUUAAAAAUUUGGAAAAGCUGAUAAUAAAAUUCGUAUGAAUACAGUGUAUUUGUACAGAGUUUUCAAAAGUAAAAAAGAAUGAUAGCAGUAUCAUUCAGUGCCAUUUAAUAAACGUUUCGUUUGUUGAUUGGUAUCUACUUUAGUAUUCAAUAUUAACUUCUGGCGAAGUUAAACUGUCACAAAACAAAGACCCGUUUGGGUUGUAUGGUUAAGUGACUAAGCGUACACGGUGGAUGCCUUGGCAGUUGGAGGCGAUGAAGGACGUAUUAACUUGCGAUAAGCCUAGUCAAGCUAGUAAAAAGCACUUGAGACUAGGAUUUCCGAAUGGGA
This 425-nucleotide unclassified non-coding RNA is filed under the name uncultured Pseudoalteromonas sp. RNAcentral's name for it is "partial 16S-23S ribosomal RNA intergenic spacer". The stretch from base 302 to 425 matches the Rfam family "Bacterial large subunit ribosomal RNA", at positions 1 to 123 of the family's 2925-position model. Lineage: Bacteria; Pseudomonadati; Pseudomonadota; Gammaproteobacteria; Alteromonadales; Pseudoalteromonadaceae. The record is from RNAcentral.